RNAcentral lists this ribosomal RNA (1260 nucleotides) under Triticum aestivum (bread wheat). RNAcentral describes it as "partial small subunit ribosomal RNA". The record is from RNAcentral. Lineage: Eukaryota; Viridiplantae; Streptophyta; Magnoliopsida; Poales; Poaceae.
AUGGCUCCUCCAACGCGCACGACUCCGAAUCCUGAUCCGCCACCACCUCCACCUCGUCCAGAGGCAUGGCAAGCUGUGAUGGCCGCAACCAAUGCAAACACACAGUUGAUCAUGCAAAUUUUUCAAGAGAGCAACCAAGGGAAUCAAGGCAGCAAUCAGAGUCACUUUGCUACACUCAACCAGUUCCUUGCUAACGGGCCAAACACUUUCAGCAAUUGUGUUGAGGCAACCGAUGCUGACGAUUGGCUAGUGGAUCUGUGCAAGCAUUUUGAGUGCAGUAAUAUCAUGGCUGAGGACUUUGUUAAGUUCGCUUCCUUCCAACUCAAAGAUCAAGCUGCAGAAUGGUUCCAGCAGUACAAGGACUCCAGAGGUGGACGUGUUAUCACUUGGGAUGAUUUCCGUCGAGAUUUCCGAGCUCAUCAUAUUCCCCAGAGCGUGGUUGAAAGCAAGCGUGAGGAAUUCCGCAAUCUGAAGCAAGGCUCUUUGUCUGUCUAUGACUACAACAAGUUGUUUCAGAAGCUCGCCCGCUUUGCCAAGCAGGACGUGCCUGAUGAGAAGAGCAUGAUAUAUCAGUUCAGGGGUGGUCUCAGAGAAAAUAUUCAGCUAGCUCUUGUUCUCUUUGAGCCCUUGAGGUAUGAUGAGUUCUACAACAUGGCACUGAAGCAAGAGGCUGCUCAGUUGAGGUGUGAUGCUUCCAAGAAGCGAGUCAGAGAUGUUACUCCUUCUUCCUCUACUCAAGUGGCCAAGCAGCAGAAGUAUUGGCUUCCUCCUCCUCCGUUCCAUCAGCCGUAUCAGCAGAAGAGCAAAGGUGGCAGUGGUUCUUCCCACCCACCCAACCCUGUCUUUCAGAACAAGACUUCGUCUCAAGCUCCAAGAUCGAGUGCUCUGUACCACUGUCCGCUUUCAGAGGUCACGUGCAACAUGUGCCAACAGAAGGGUCACUAUGCCAACAAGUGUUUCAACCAGAGGCGUCUUCCUCCUCCUCCUCCUAUCAGAUCGGCAAGUACAGCUGUGGUCAAGCAUAACCCCAAGUCUGCCAAGGUCAAUUUGAUGAAUGCAGCUCAGGCAGAGGACUCAUCAGAUGUCAUCAUGGGUAACCUUCCUGUUAAUGAUAUUCCUGCAAAAGUUCUUUUUGACACGGGUGCAUCGCAUUGUUUCAUCUCGAGGCCAUUUGUUUCUAAGCAUGAGUUGCCUUUGCAAGAUUUGCCUAGACAGUUAUCUGUUGUUUCUCUAGGUAAAUUCAUGAAUGCAAGCGCUAUU